GUAGUUAGCCGAGACUUAUUCCUAGGCUACCGUCCACUCUCGUCACCUAGAAAAGGGCUUUACAGUCCGAAAACCGUCUUCACCCACGCGGCGUCGCUGCAUCAGGCUUGCGCCCAUUGUGCAAUAUUCCUCA
Molecule: ribosomal RNA, 133 nt
Filed under: uncultured bacterium
Lineage: Bacteria
Description: partial 16S ribosomal RNA
Source: RNAcentral